AUUGAACGCUGGCGGCAGGCCUAACACAUGCAAGUCGAGCGGGGGUAGCAAUACCCUAGCGGCGAACGGGUGAGGAAUGCUUGGGAAUCUGCCUGGUAGUGGGGGGAUAACGUUCCGAAAGGAACGCUAAUACCGCAUACGUCCUACGGGAGAAAGGGGGGGAUCUUCGGACCUCUCGCUAUCAGAUGAGCCCAAGCGGGAUUAGCUAGUUGGUGAGGUAAAGGCUCACCAAGGCGACGAUCCCUAGCUGGCUGAGAGGAUGAUCAGCCACACUGGAACUGAGACACGGUCCAGACUCCUACGGGA
RNAcentral lists this ribosomal RNA (306 nucleotides) under uncultured bacterium. RNAcentral describes it as "bacterial SSU rRNA". It matches the Rfam family "Bacterial small subunit ribosomal RNA", at positions 30 to 346 of the family's 1533-position model. The record is from RNAcentral.